Labrus bergylta (ballan wrasse) is the source of this 731-nucleotide non-coding RNA. The record is from RefSeq and is a predicted model, not a curated record. Lineage: Eukaryota; Metazoa; Chordata; Actinopteri; Labriformes; Labridae.
UUGUCGCUGUUUUGUAAUCGAGCAGCAGAGUUUUAAAUUUGAUGCGAGCAGUAACUGGGAGCCAGUGUAAGGAGGUGAACAGCUCUUUUACAUAAAUGAAUGGACCUCACAGGUCACCUAAGGGUGCAGUAACAGUCCAUUCAGUACUGGGCUGCAUUGGAUUAAAUUAACUGGUCGUGCAAAUCUGUACUUCCUGUUACUUCUUCAUGUUCUCCUCUGUCCUGUCUCUCUACAGGAUCCUGCACUGCCAGUUGGACCCUCUUUGUUCUUCUGCUCGUCCUCGUUGUUGCUGCUGUCUUGUGUUGCUUCUAUAAACGUAUGGAAAUUGCAAGAUUCAUACUACGGGAAGAAGGCGGCACACGAGGCAAGAGGCAAAAGGUUCCAACGACUUCCAGCUCACCUGAAGGCCAUGACAGAGUAGAAGAAGAUGGAGGGGAAACAGAGGGAGAGCUUUGAAAUCAGUCGAAGCAACAGAAGAGGAUCACAGCUGGACUGAAGGUGAUUUGCAGACUUCCAACACUAUUCAUUCCUGACGCAGCCGUUAGUGAAAAUAGGCAGUAUUCCUGGUGCUUUACAUUUUGUUGAUGUCAUUGACAUUGGUUUUAAAAAUAGCCAAUUUCUCAAUUCAGAUAUUUAAAGUUAUUGUUUCCAAAUAUUACAACUGAACAGCUAGUAGUAUUAUCAAAAAAAGAAUGUCAAAAAUGAACCUGAAGGUUAAGAGCUUUUCUGAA